UACCCUGUAGUUCCGAGCCGUGUA
RNAcentral lists this microRNA (24 nucleotides) under Pristionchus pacificus. RNAcentral's name for it is "ppc-miR-57-5p". Its record names the gene ppc-miR-57-5p. Lineage: Eukaryota; Metazoa; Nematoda; Chromadorea; Rhabditida; Neodiplogasteridae. The record is from miRBase by way of RNAcentral.